Molecule: ribosomal RNA, 432 nt
Filed under: uncultured bacterium
Lineage: Bacteria
Description: partial 16S ribosomal RNA
Rfam family: Bacterial small subunit ribosomal RNA
Source: RNAcentral
CCUACGGGUGGCAGCAGUGGGGAAUUUUGGACAAUGGGCGCAAGCCUGAUCCAGCCAUGCCGCGUGUGGGAAGAAGGCCUUCGGGUUGUAAACCACUUUUUAGAGAGAUUCGGUACCUGGAGAAUAAGCACCGGCUAACUACGUGCCAGCAGCCGCGGUAAUACGUAGGGUGCGAGCGUUAAUCGGAAUUACUGGGCGUAAAGCGUGCGCAGGCGGUUUUGCAAGUCAGAUGUGAAAGCCCCGGGCUCAACCUGGGAAUUGCAUUUGAAACUACAAGGCUAGAGUGUGUCAGAGGGGGGUAGAAUUCCACGUGUAGCAGUGAAAUGCGUAGAGAUGUGGAGGAAUACCGAUGGCGAAGGCAGCCCCCUGGGAUAAACUGACGCUCAUGCACGAAAGCGUGGGGAGCAAACAGGAUUAGAUACCCUUGUAGUC